AAAAGGUGAGUCAGAUGAAAAAACCAGAAAUGGAGAAAAGCAAACAAAAUGGAGUGUAUGAAGACAGCUCCUUGACGCACGAGCCUAAACUGCAUGUUACUCCUGGCCCGCAUGAGUAUAAACUGUGCACGGUACCCAAUCUCAAACACCUGUUGAUCCUAUGAACUACGUUUUGACUUGAUCCCUUUCAAAAGGGUACGUAGGCAGCUUAGAUAAUUUCUAGGUUCAGUCAUGAAUUGUGUUUGACUCUUUUCAAUUUAUAUCAUCAAAGUUAUGAUUUAAGUUGAUUAUGUGAAGCCGAAUAUGUCUCAAAUUGGGAAGAAAAUCAAGCCAUCAAAAGAAGCACAAGCAUUUGGAGAAGAUGUCAAAAUAUCCAUCACAAACCAAAUAAGAAUCAUCAAGAGAGAAAUGAUAGAAACUGCAAUUUGCACCAAUACUAAGCAAAUGGGUCUUGAUCCUCCAAAGUUCUCUGAGCAGAGAUCAAAAGUGACUCUGAAGUCUUCAAAAUUCCGCAUCAUUUCCUCAUCAACAUGUGCAACUUUAUGUUUGUCAAACUCUCUUUUGAAUUAUGGGAUUGCACCUCGGGCAAUAUGAAAGGAGGCACUAUCUUGCUUGAAGAACAACGUCAUCUCCAUCUCCCACAUCUCUAUCAUAGCAAGCUCUUCCUUGAUCAAAGCAAUUCUGACGAUGGCUUCAUUCUCCUUGGCUUAAGCAUCAAGAAGAGAAGACUCAAUCUUCUCGAGUCGCUGUGCAGAAUUCUCCCAACUUCGUGAGAUGCCAAACAUGACAACCUCACUCAAACCAGACUCGAACAAUCCCAGGUCCGAGCGCACCCAAGACCUGUCAAAGAAUUGAGUCAUCUGGCGUUGAGGUCAGCUAUGCAUCGCCAACUUCACUUCUCUAAAGUUGAAACUAUUUGUGGAGUGGAAAUACACGUUCACACCUUUGAGUCAUCUAGCCUGCUCAAAUGCGCGCAAAGAGAAGAUGUAACCAGCAAUCUUCAAAGGUUGGACUCACAAUGGCCCAGAUCCGAGCGCACCCGAAAUCUGAUUAAAAGCCAAUUGAACCACCUGAAGUGCAAAGUAAACAUCACUCAAAUAAGGUCUUAGAUGAGCUGCCGCCAGAUUUUUGGAUAAACUCUCUGAGGAUGGUCUUUAGUCGAGCUAAUGGAGGUGUCAAAACUGAAAGAAAAAUAACAAUAGAUUCCAAACUUUGCAAAUACUCAAAGCAUCUCGUUUGGGGCAAAAUCCGCCAUCAAGUUGGUUGAUAAGACUGCGCCAAUCUUGAACAUAACCCUCCAAAAUCGUCAUCACCAAGCUUUCGCUGCUGCCAGCUGCACAAAAAAAUAAAAAUAAAAAAUUGAAUAACAAUAAAUGGUUUGAUAAAAAAAAAAAUCAAUUCAAAACUUGGGCCCAUACUUUGUUUCCAAAAUUGGGCCCGAUUUAUUUGAUUUAUAGAAAUGGGCUUGGUGUAAUUUAAGAUGGCCUCUCUACAAAUUAAAGAAGCCCAGCAAUGAAGCCCAAAGCCCCACCAAAAGAUGGCCCAACAUAAAUUCAACCAAGGGCUAAAUUGCAUACUCUCUCUUUUCCUCGGAUGAGACCGCAGCCAACACUCCUAGGCGGCGCAUCUCUUCUCAUACUCUCUCUUCUCCGGCAACCGCCUGCCAUCCGGCCUCGUUCCGGUC
This 1684-nucleotide long non-coding RNA is filed under the name Salvia miltiorrhiza (redroot sage). Its description in RNAcentral is "long non-coding RNA (SMIL_LNC005959)". The record is from RNAcentral. Lineage: Eukaryota; Viridiplantae; Streptophyta; Magnoliopsida; Lamiales; Lamiaceae.